ACCGCGCCCCGACCUGAACGGAAAUCCUUUUUGCUUUAAAAAAUUUUCUUUUUUUUAAUGUUCAUGUUUGCAAAAAGAUUGGGAGUGGAGGGCGGAAAUGUGC
This 103-nucleotide small RNA is filed under the name Halpernia frigidisoli. Its description in RNAcentral is "Chryseobacterium frigidisoli Flavo-1 RNA". It matches the Rfam family "Flavo-1 RNA". The record is from RNAcentral. Lineage: Bacteria; Pseudomonadati; Bacteroidota; Flavobacteriia; Flavobacteriales; Weeksellaceae.